UUCCGGUUGAUCCUGCCGGAGGCCACUGCUAUUGGGAUCCGACUAAGCCAUGCGAGUCGAGAGGGUUCGGCCCUCGGCAGACUGCUCAGUAACACGUGGAUAACCUAACCUUAGGUGGAAGAUAACCUCGGGAAACUGAGAAUAAUAUUCCAUAGAUCUAGGAUGCUGGAAUGCAUCUAGAUUAAAAGUUCCGACGCCUAAGGAUGGGUCUGCGGACUAUCAGGUUGUAGUCAGGGUAAAGACCUGACUAGCCUACGACGGAUAUGGGUUGUGAGAGCAAUAGCCCAGAGACGAUAUCUGAGACACGAUAUCGGGCCCUACGGGGCGCAGCAGGCGCGAAAUCUUCACAAUGUGCGAAAGCACGAUGAGGGGAUCCCAAGUGCUGGCACGUAAGUGUCAGCUGUUUCUUAGUCUAAAAAACUGAGAGAGUAAGGGCUGGGUAAGACGGGUGCCAGCCGCCGCGGUAAUACCUGCAGCUCAAGUGGUGGUCGCUAUUAUUGGGCCUAAAAUGUCCGUAGCCUGUUUAGUAAAUGCUUGGGUAAAUUGUGUAGCUUAACUAUACGAAUACCGAGUAGACUGCUAAACUUGGGACCGGGAGAGGCUAGAGGUACUCCUGGGGUAGAGGUGAAAUUCUGUAAUCCUAGGGGGACCACCAGUGGCGAAGGCGUCUAGCUAGAACGGGUCUGACGGUGAGGGACGAAGCCCUGGGGCGCAAACCGGAUUAGAUACCCGGGUAGUCCAGGGUGUAAACGCUGCUUGCUUGAUGUUAGUUGGGCUCCGAGCCCAACUAGUGUCGGAGAGAAGUUGUUAAGCAAGCUGCCUGGGAGUACGGUCGCAAGACUGAAACUUAAAGGAAUUGGCGGGGGAGCACAGCAACGGGUGGAGCGUGCGGCUUACUUGGAGUCAACGCCGGGA
Molecule: ribosomal RNA, 915 nt
Filed under: uncultured archaeon
Lineage: Archaea
Description: bacterial SSU rRNA
Rfam family: Archaeal small subunit ribosomal RNA
Source: RNAcentral